Molecule: ribosomal RNA, 807 nt
Filed under: uncultured bacterium
Lineage: Bacteria
Description: bacterial SSU rRNA
Rfam family: Bacterial small subunit ribosomal RNA
Source: RNAcentral
AGAGUUUGAUCAUGGCUCAGGAUUAACGCUGUCGGUGUGCCUAAGAUAUGCAAGUCGAACGAAACUCGUGUUUAUGAAACUUCGGUUGAUUAAACACAUAUGAGUUUAGUGGCAAACUGCUGAGUAAUACGUAGGGAAUCUGCCUUGGAGACGGGUAUAGCUCAUCGAAAGAUGGGGUAAUCCCCGAUGGACCCUUGCACUUCGGUGAUGUAGGGUAAAUGGUUUAGAGCUUGCUCUAUUCGGCUCUGAGAUGAUCCUGCGGCCUAUCAGCUUGUUGGUGGGGUAAUGGUCUACCAAGGCUAAGACGGGUAGCUGGUCUGAGAGGAUGAUCAGCCAGACUGGGACUGAGACACGGCCCAGACUCCUACGGGAGGCAGCAAUCAGGAAUUUUGCGCAAUGGGGGAAACCCUGACGCAGCGACACCGAGUGGGGGAUGAAGGCCUUAGGGUUGUAAACUCCUUUUCUGAGUGAACAAAAAAAUGAGAUUAACUCAGGAAUAAGCACCUGCUAACUACGUGCCAGAAGCAUCGGUAAUACGUAGGGUGCAAGCGUUAUCCGGAAUUACUGGGCGUAAAGAGAUACGUAGGCGGUCAUUUAAGUCUUUUGUUAAAGCCUGGAGCUCAACUCCAGAAAGGCGAAAGAUACUGUUUGACUAGAGGCAGAGAGGGGGAAGUGGAAUUCCUGGUGGAGCGGUGAAAUGCGUUGAUAUCAGGAGGAACACUAGUGGCGAAGGCGACUUCCUGGCUCUUGCCUGACGCUGAGGUUCGAAAGCGUGGGUACAAAGCGGAUUAGAUACCCUAGUAGUCC